This 255-nucleotide ribosomal RNA is filed under the name Klebsiella pneumoniae. Its description in RNAcentral is "partial 23S ribosomal RNA". It matches the Rfam family "Bacterial large subunit ribosomal RNA", at positions 2061 to 2315 of the family's 2925-position model. Lineage: Bacteria; Pseudomonadati; Pseudomonadota; Gammaproteobacteria; Enterobacterales; Enterobacteriaceae. The record is from RNAcentral.
GCAGUGUACCCGCGGCAAGACGGAAAGACCCCGUGAACCUUUACUAUAGCUUGACACUGAACAUUGAGCCUUGAUGUGUAGGAUAGGUGGGAGGCUUUGAAGCGUGGACGCCAGUCUGCGUGGAGCCGACCUUGAAAUACCACCCUUUAAUGUUUGAUGUUCUAACGUUGGCCCCUUACCGGGGUUGCGGACAGUGUCUGGUGGGUAGUUUGACUGGGGCGGUCUCCUCCCAAAGCGUAACGGAGGAGCACGCCG